ACGGAAGGCAGCAGUGGGGAAUAUUGCACAAUGGGCGAAAGCCUGAUGCAGCGACGCCGCGUGAGUGAAGAAGUUAUUCGUAACGUAAAGCUCUAUCAGCAGGGAAGAAAAUGACGGUACCUGACUAAGAAGCCCCGGCUAACUACGUGCCAGCAGCCGCGGUAAUACGUAGGGGGCAAGCGUUAUCCGGAUUUACUGGGUGUAAAGGGAGCGUAGACGGCGAAGCAAGUCUGAUGUGAAAGGCAGGGGCUCAACCCCUGGACUGCAUUGGAAACUGUUUGGCUAGAGUGCAGGAGAGGUAAGUGGAAUUCCUAGUGUAGCGGUGAAAUGCGUAGAUAUUAGGAGGAACACCAGUGGCGAAGGCGGCUUACUGGACUGUAACUGACGUUGAGGCUCGAAAGCGUGGGGAGCAAACAGGAUUAGAUACCCUGGUA
RNAcentral lists this ribosomal RNA (434 nucleotides) under uncultured Clostridium sp. RNAcentral's name for it is "partial 16S ribosomal RNA". It matches the Rfam family "Bacterial small subunit ribosomal RNA", at positions 341 to 792 of the family's 1533-position model. The record is from RNAcentral. Lineage: Bacteria; Bacillati; Bacillota; Clostridia; Eubacteriales; Clostridiaceae.